AGGAGCUGCCGAAGGCGGGACCGAUGACUGGGGUGAAGUCGUAACAAGGUAGCCGUAUCGGAAGGUGCGGCUGGAUCACCUCCUUUCUAAGGAA
This 94-nucleotide ribosomal RNA is filed under the name Ruminococcus sp. AM42-11. RNAcentral describes it as "partial 16S ribosomal RNA". It matches the Rfam family "Bacterial small subunit ribosomal RNA", at positions 1448 to 1533 of the family's 1533-position model. Lineage: Bacteria; Bacillati; Bacillota; Clostridia; Eubacteriales; Oscillospiraceae. The record is from RNAcentral.